AGUGCCUGCCGGACCCCUGGGACUGGGCUCCUCUCAGAUUCUGUGCUCUGACACCAGACUCUCACUGCCCCCCAGGCUGUGAAUGUGGACAGUAUCUGACCUCCAUCCUCGCUCCUGCCCCCCUGGCCCAGGGCCCAGGGGUCCUGCCCUUCUUCUCCCGGGGCCCACUGCCCUGCUGGGCAGGGUGCAGUGGCAUGAAUUAGGGGCUGAGGAACAGGGGCCAGGAAGGGAGGGGGCAAGGCAGCCCCACUGUACACGGCUAUUGUACCCACCAGGAACUCAGGGCCACAUGGGCUCAGAGUCCAGCCCCGAGUGCUGGCCACCAGUGUCUUCAUCAUCCCAGCUCCCUGACAGACUGCCGUUUGGGCCUCCCAGGCCUCUCACCCACUCUGGACCUGUCUACUGUCACAGAGGGAAGGCUGAAUGAUGUUUGAGCCUCCCUUACAUUUCCUCCAAGGCCAUCACGGACGACCUGUGCCUCACCCUGGGGCACUGCUGUUGGCCACACCCAGGUCAGGGACACAACUAAAGUGUAUUCCCAGUGUGCCCUCUUACCGAUGAAAUCAUUGGAUUUCCCAAUGUCAUAAUCCCAAACGGUGACCUCCAGGGUCUUCUUGGCCAAGUCCCCAUGUUUAAUCUCGUAACAGAACUCCUGCUGGCCAGAAGGGGAGUGUUAGAGCCAAGGCCACGUGGCCCUCAGGGGUCUGCGAUGGGGUGAGGGCUGGAGGGAGAGCGAGGAGGGGCAGGGUGGGCACCCCUCCUGUCACUUCUGCCUGAGGGCCCAGGACAGGUCCCUAUUCCCUCAACCCACCUGUCCCUCUGUCCCUGAAGCUGUGAUCUCCACCUGCCUGUGAACCCCGUUCCUGUGACUCAUGGCACAAGAAUGAGUCUUUGUCAUCCUUGACUUCUGAGCUGGCUGUGGUGAACUCAUCCUUUUUCAGGGAUAGGGUGGUAGUGGGGCCUUUGAGAUCUUCUUGCCUCAGCCUCUCCUAGUGCUGGAUUACAGGUGUGCACCACAACUGCUGACUUUGUCCUUUGUGAACCCCUCUCUCCUGCCGGCUUCUGGGACCCUCUAACAUCAGGUGCUUCUUCCGCCUGGACACAGCUCCUCAGCUGCCUCUGGAAGCCCUGGAAUCCUGACACAGCCUGGUGGACAAAGUACAUCAUCCCCAGAGCUGUGAAACCAUCAUCACACCCUCCUUGGAGCUCUGAGGAAGGGAAAGGCCUUCGGGGACUAACAAGGAUGCAUCCCUCAGGGAGAGGGGCACCAGACAGACAUUCUUCCAUCUGCAGGCCUCCACCGCUUAGACCCCUUCACCCGAGGCUCACCGUGUGGGAGUGAGUUGCCUAAGGAACACCGAAUUGCAUACAUAAUACUGGUUUACUAUAGAAACGGGAGCGUAUGUGUUGACAAAAGCUGAAGGUAGGAGAGAGAUGAGGAUAUUUGUCCAUACAAAUACCUGUUUGUAGCAGCUUCAUGUAACACCCAAAACUGGAAACAAGCACAUGCCUUUCAGCUGGUGAGCUGAUCAACAAGACUUGUGGCUUAGCCACAAGAUGGAAGACUACUCAGCCCUAACAAAGGCUGACCUGUUGGUAUAUACAACCUCAGGGUCUGAUGUGGAGACCAAGCCAGAGCAAGAGACAACACACCAUCCAAUAUCUUUGUAUGAAAAUAUGGAAAAAACAACACUACCAGGACAGAAAACAGGCCAGUGGGUCAGAGCCGGGGAACUUUCUGGGCUCUCUGUAUCCUUUGCCCUUACAUCCAACCAAGGGCUGAAAAUAUUUGAAAAAAAAAAUUGCAUCUGUACU
Molecule: long non-coding RNA, 1815 nt
Organism: Heterocephalus glaber (naked mole-rat)
Lineage: Eukaryota; Metazoa; Chordata; Mammalia; Rodentia; Bathyergidae
Source: RefSeq, a predicted model, not a curated record